GGUUUGCUUGCAAACCGAAGCUGGCGACCGGCGCACGGGUGAGUAACACGUAUCCAACCUGCCUCAUACUCGGGGAUAGCCUUUCGAAAGAAAGAUUAAUAUCCGAUAGCAUAUAUUUCCCGCAUGGGUUUUAUAUUAAAGAAAUUCGGUAUGAGAUGGGGAUGCGUUCCAUUAGUUUGUUGGCGGGGUAACGGCCCACCAAGACUACGAUGGAUAGGGGUUCUGAGAGGAAGGUCCCCCACAUUGGAACUGAGACACGGUCCAAACUCCUACGGGAGGCAGCAGUGAGGAAUAUUGGUCAAUGGACGCGAGUCUGAACCAGCCAAGUAGCGUGAAGGAUGACUGCCCUAUGGGUUGUAAACUUCUUUUAUAUGGGAAUAAAGUGGUCCACGUGUGGAUUUUUGUAUGUACCAUAUGAAUAAGGAUCGGCUAACUCCGUGCCAGCAGCCGCGGUAAUACGGAGGAUCCGAGCGUUAUCCGGAUUUAUUGGGUUUAAAGGGAGCGCAGACGGGUCGUUAAGUCAGCUGUGAAAGUUUGGGGCUCAACCUUAAAAUUGCAGUUGAUACUGGCGUCCUUGAGUGCGGUUGAGGUGUGCGGAAUUCGUGGUGUAGCGGUGAAAUGCUUAGAUAUCACGAAGAACCCCGAUUGCGAAGGCAGCACACUAAUCCGUAACUGACGUUCAUGCUCGAAAGUGUGGGUAUCAAACAGGAUUAGAUACCCUGGUAGUCCACACGGUAAACGAUGGAUACUCGCUGUUGGCGAUAUACUGUCAGCGGCUUAGCGAAAGCGUUAAGUAUCCCACCUCGGGAAAUACGCCGGCAC
This 822-nucleotide ribosomal RNA is filed under the name uncultured bacterium. RNAcentral describes it as "bacterial SSU rRNA". It matches the Rfam family "Bacterial small subunit ribosomal RNA", at positions 73 to 891 of the family's 1533-position model. The record is from RNAcentral.